AGAGCUCACUGCCUGCUGGCGGCAGGGAGGUAGCUCUGCCGAGCUUGCUUCUUUCCCUACGGCUCUGUAUGAGGACGUGUGGAUACACGACGCUUGGGCCCGAGCAGUGAUGUCUACCGCCUUCGCUCCCCUUCUCAGAGCCAGGGGCCAUGGGUGAUUUGUGGAACCACACCUUCUCGGGUGGCCCCCUAUUUAUAGAGCUGGGAUUGUUGCCAGAGCCGAGUAGACCCUCUGUGAGAGGUCCCUGAGUGUUAGGCCACUCCUUUUACAAACUUUGGGGCACUGGAAUCCUAGAACGCCCACAGGCCGUUUUCCCCUCCUCAUGCCUAGUUCUACAGGACUCCCUCAGCCUGGGCCCUGAUAUGCCAGAGCUCUCUCACAAGACUGAGUGAGCUGCUCUUGAUUGCAAUGAGAGAAUUUGAUUGGACACCCAAGUUUCAGGGGAUUUCACACCCAGGUCUGGGUACCAAGUCUGCUCCACAGUGGAGCACAGUAUGCAUUUCAGUGAAAUCUUCCAUCUCCCUGGUUACAUUAGACAGAAGUUACCCAAUACUUGUUUCGGUGCCUCCGCCCCCCUUUCUAGAUCCUUGAAGAUCUAGGGCCUUUUAUUAGUAUAUUUUUUCUUCGAACACGACUAAGUUUCAGAAUUCUUAGCCACAUGGAUCAAAGUCCAGUCAAACCUCCUCCACACACCUUCAUCUCCUUGCUUGGAAUUGCGGUGGUUCCCACUCUUCCCAAUCACUGAAUUAUAUAAAUUACAUUUUGCUUCUUUACACUUCUAUUCAAUUUUACUAGCUCCAUUUCAAUAGAGAAACCUUACUUCCAAGUUCUGAUAUUCAUUAGUUGAGACAAAAAAGCAGACAGAAGUGAUCAAACUGGAAUCUUCAUGCCUACAGAUUCAGGAAAAAAGUGGUCUCUAGGGAAUGAAAGCUUCCUAAUAGAUCUGAAGACAGUCCAACCUGUCAACUUUCCAAAAACCUGAACAUGUGGGAUCAAGUGGUAAUGAGAUUAGUUGUUCAAUUUGACUAGUUUGCUUAAGGGAUAUCAGAAUGAAGUUUUUCAUUCUAACCAAACUCACAAAGAUGGUUAAUUCAGAGGCAAAUUUAAACAUUCAUUCAUUCAACCAAUAUUUACUGGGCACCCAAUAAGCUGAGGUAUCAUUCUAGGCACUGGAUAGUCAACAGGAGACACUUCCCAUGGAGUACACCAUAGCAGGCAAGACCCUCAGAUACACGUAUUUAACAGUACCUAAGGCCAAAGACGGAAGGGUGGUCACAAGAAUUUGAACAAGGAGAGCUACAAAAAAGACCUGUUCAAGAGGAGCAGUAGCGAACAGCUCACUUCUGGGUCAAGAUUUACUCCUGCAGUGAAAUUAAACCAGUUUCUCUGAUUUCACUAAACCAUGGAUGCUGAUGGGACAAACUUUAAAAAAUAGCAAUACACAGCAUUAGAAUCACUUCCAACAAACCCAGUACUUCCUCCAUCUGAAUUAACACGUGGCUAUGCUUGAAACAUGUAUAAUGCAGUUUUCUUUAAACAGCUUACAGUGACUACAUGGAAACACUGGUAAGGAAUGAGGGUAAAAUUCUUCUGGUUUACCAUUAACUCCUGCAUUUCCCAUUCUCAAACUUGACCUAGUAAAGAACAUGCACUAUCUCAAGUUAUUUACCAUAAACAUCAUGAAGACGACAUAGAAAACAAGAACUAAAACCAAGUUAAAUGCAUUUUAUUUUUAAAAAGUCCAUUCACAAAACUGAAUGAUUAAUUCAAGCUACGCAGCAGCUAAUGACUACUGCAUGGCAGUGAAAAUGAAGUGCACAGUGGCUCAGAUAAAGGUCCUCAUAAGGAUGGUCCUGCAAAAAAGAAAAAAGCAUAUACAUAAGCAGGUGAAAGAUUCUACAACUACACCCAUUCUCUUUACUGAGAAUCCAAUUGCUUUAAUAGCUUUUUGCCAGCUACAGUCUGUUAGAUAAUAGAACAAUAGAUCUUACUUUUUUUAGUUCCGAGGCACAGCCUGGCAUUUUACUUUAGGAAUACUAAGCACUGUUACUUUAUAAAAACCUACCUUUUAGCCAUGAGCUUGAACUGGAAUUUUGUUUAAGAGUUGCUAAGCCUGUGGUAGCACACUCCUCCCUAGAAAAGCAAACAGCCUUUAAGAACUAGCUUUUCUCAGAGACAAGGUCCAUCUCAGGCUAAGCCCUCCCACCCCCCACUAAUGGUCCGCCCACCCUCCCACCAGCAUUCUGGGGAAGAUUCUAAUAUAUUACUUUGAGCCAUUGUUUUAAGUUAAUAGGUCAAAAGAUAGGAAAUAUAGAAAUUAAAGGGUAAAAAUGUAUCACUGUAGAAGUAAUUAAAGUGCUGACUUCCUUCAGUUGGGAGCCGCCAAGAGUAGGGUGUCAACUUAAGCAAUUCAUUUCCAGAAAAACCAAGUUCAGCUUAACUGGACUAGUUUUGGCUCAAUAUAUUAAAGAAAAUAUAAGAGAAAGCUGGAUUUUAGAGAGCUAUAUGGAUGUAAGUAAAAUCUGUUCUUACCUACCAGCAUAGCAAUAAAACCUUUUCUCCUGGUUCUGACUGCUAGUCCUAAGAGUCAGGUGUGCCUUACUCUUGUCUGCCUCCUUCCUUGCGAUGGUCACUGAAACUUCACUCCCUCCUAGCUUUCGUGGAGCGUGCCGUGGCCUGCCCCUGGCUUAUCUGUACUCCACAUACCACAAGUGUCUACUCUCAGCUGUAGAGUGUCUGACCUCGGAGCCAUUCGCGCUAUACUUGCUAGCAGUUCCUAGUAGCUGAACAUCUCUCCUGGAUCUUUAAAGGCAUUGUCACGAAUCCUGAGGUAUCUGCAAACUCCCUCAAUAGUUAAGGUUCCACCUGCCAUUGCAAACUCAGCCAGUAUCAAGCCCAUGGAACUAUUACCCACACUUUCCCACCCACCUCCACCUCCCACCCAACCCCACCCAACCCCCUCCCCAAACUUCCAAGUAACACACCCAUGGGAUGGAAUACACAGUCCUAGUGAUAAACAAAUCUCUAUUCUACUAAGUACAAUGGCACUGAAAUUGAGGGUACCAAAGGGAGGGCUCAAAGGAAGCUAUGUACAAAUAACAAUGAUUGGAUAUUAAGUAAACUGUUAUAAAGGUUUAGAAGUCAUUUUCUAUACAACCAACAUUUUAGAAUGUUUGUGUCAUCUUGUGCCGUAUUUAAAGGAAAACUGCAGUUAGCAUGAAUUAAAGUAAAUAACAUGGCUCCUCACCAUACCCAAUUUUGAUCUCCAUACAGAUAAUUACUAGUGUGUCAAUCCAGAAACCUAUAUAUACCCACCCAACCGGAACAAAAACUGCAGUUUUCCUUUAAUGUAAACCUGUUUUUGUGUUAAAGAGUAAAUUCCUUACUGAUACUGGUCAGUUUAAAAAUGUCUCCCCAAAACUUCUAAUUUGUGGAUUUAUGGGGUGGCAUUAGCCAGCAUCUGGUUUCUAUUCCCUGGCAGAGUUUUGAACUUGAACUGUGAUAGAAGCAUUCAACAUUAUCAGGGGUAGUGGGUAGGGAAGGCCCAAAGCUCUGCCAGUCCCAAAUCCAUACAGUUGUCAUUCCAUUCAAGAGGGUAUUAAAUUGUUUAUUUAUUACACAUGAUAAUGGAUGAUACACAAGCUUCAUUCCCAUCUAUAUCUGGUACCAUAAUCCAAUUUAGAUAUAUUGCAUAGGAUGUGCCAACAAUCAUAUAUUAAUAAUCAAAAAACUCCAUGACUUGGCUUGGGUGACCCUUUUUCACGGUGAACUCCAAGGUCACAACGCAGUAACUGUCAGUUCAACUACACCAAGGUUUCAGAAGACAGUAGCUUCUCCACCAAAGCAGGUUGUAAAUAAAUUUUGAAUGGAACCUGGCAUCACCCUGAAGGAAUACUAACUUCACACUGUUGGGGUGGUUUACCAAAAUGGCUUCAGAGUAGACUAACUUUACACAGCACAUUUAAAAAAAAGACACAUUUAUUCAGCGUCACGAUCAGACUAUUACAUUUAGCAAUCAACAGCAUGGGUGCAAAAAAAAAAAAAAUCUACAUUAAAACCCUUUGUUGGAAUGCUUUACACUUUCCACAGAACAGAAACUAAAAUAACCUGUUAUACAAUUAGUCACAAAUACAGUCCUCGAGUUUUUUUGCCCAUACACAUG
Orcinus orca (killer whale) is the source of this 4162-nucleotide long non-coding RNA. RefSeq lists it as uncharacterized. The record is from RefSeq and is a predicted model, not a curated record. The transcript has 2 exons. Lineage: Eukaryota; Metazoa; Chordata; Mammalia; Artiodactyla; Delphinidae.